Molecule: small nucleolar RNA, 90 nt
Organism: Gorilla gorilla gorilla (western lowland gorilla)
Lineage: Eukaryota; Metazoa; Chordata; Mammalia; Primates; Hominidae
Gene: U8
Rfam family: U8 small nucleolar RNA
About the family: U8 is a member of the C/D class of snoRNA which contain the C (UGAUGA) and D (CUGA) box motifs. U8 is the RNA component of a small complex (the U8 snoRNP) which is required for accumulation of mature large subunit ribosomal RNAs, 5.8S and 28S rRNAs.
Source: Ensembl
UCCUCACAUGGCAUAAUUUUACUUGUUUCUCCCAUUGGAGGGCAGAUUAGAACACGAUGAUUAGGCCGGGGGCAGUGGCUCAUGCCUGUA